RNAcentral lists this transfer RNA (67 nucleotides) under Osteocephalus taurinus (Manaus slender-legged treefrog). RNAcentral describes it as "tRNA-Ser". The record is from RNAcentral. Lineage: Eukaryota; Metazoa; Chordata; Amphibia; Anura; Hylidae.
GAGCCUGACUGGGGAGACGAGAACUGCUAAUUACUCGCCGCUAUGGUUCAAUUCCAUAGUAGACUCG